RNAcentral lists this ribosomal RNA (747 nucleotides) under Pantoea agglomerans. RNAcentral describes it as "bacterial SSU rRNA". It matches the Rfam family "Bacterial small subunit ribosomal RNA", at positions 58 to 807 of the family's 1533-position model. Lineage: Bacteria; Pseudomonadati; Pseudomonadota; Gammaproteobacteria; Enterobacterales; Erwiniaceae. The record is from RNAcentral.
CAAAGGAAGUCUUUUGCUCCUCUUUUGCUAGACGAGUGGCGGACGGGGUAGAGUAAUGUCUGGGAAACUGCCCGAUGGAGGGGGAUAACUACUGGAAACGGUAGCUAAUACCGCAUAACGUCGCAAGACCAAAGAGGGGGACCUUCGGGCCUCUCGCCAUCAGAUGUGCCCAGAUGGGAUUAGCUAGUAGGUGGGGUAAUGGCUCACCUAGGCGACGAUCCCUAGCUGGUCUGAGAGGAUGACCAGCCACACUGGAACUGAGACACGGUCCAGACUCCUACGGGAGGCAGCAGUGGGGAAUAUUGCACAAUGGGCGCAAGCCUGAUGCAGCCAUGCCGCGUGUAUGAAGAAGGCCUUCGGGUUGUAAAGUACUUUCAGCGGGGAGGAAGGCGGUGAGGUUAAUAACCUCGCCGAUUGACGUUACCCGCAAAAGAAGCACCGGCUAACUCCGUGCCAGCAGCCGCGGUAAUACGGAGGGUGCAAGCGUUAAUCGGAAUUACUGGGCGUAAAGCGCACGCAGGCGGUCUGUUAAGUCAGAUGUGAAAUCCCCGGGCUUAACCUGGGAACUGCAUUUGAAACUGGCAGGCUUGAGUCUCGUAGAGGGGGGUAGAAUUCCAGGUGUAGCGGUGAAAUGCGUAGAGAUCUGGAGGAAUACCGGUGGCGAAGGCGGCCCCCUGGACGAAGACUGACGCUCAUGUGCGAAAGCGUGGGGAGCACACAGGAUUAACCCUUUUUUUUUCAAAAAAA